Molecule: ribosomal RNA, 253 nt
Filed under: uncultured bacterium
Lineage: Bacteria
Description: partial 16S ribosomal RNA
Rfam family: Bacterial small subunit ribosomal RNA
Source: RNAcentral
UACGUAGGGUGGAAGCGUGGUCCGGAAUUAUUGGGCGUAAAGAGCUCGUAGGCGGCUUGUCGCGUCGACUGUGAAAUCCCGUGGCUCAACUGCGGGCUUGCAGCCGAUACGGGCAGGCUAGAGUUCGGUAGGGGAGACUGGAAUUCCUGGUGUAGCGGUGAAAUGCGUAGAUAUCUGGAGGAACACCGGUGGCGAAGGCGGCAUCCUGGACCGGCAUUGACGCUGAGGAGCGAAAGCCAGGGGAGCAAACGGG